This is a long non-coding RNA of Ruditapes philippinarum (Manila clam), 1580 nucleotides long. RefSeq lists it as uncharacterized. Lineage: Eukaryota; Metazoa; Mollusca; Bivalvia; Venerida; Veneridae. The transcript has 6 exons. The record is from RefSeq and is a predicted model, not a curated record.
CAUGCUGGUCUCAAACCCACUAUGUUGGUAUUGUCAUGACGUGGCUCAUAUACUGUAACGGGUCGCAAAUAUAUAACACUCUAAACGAACUGGAUUUCCCUAUCGGGAACCCCAUUGAGAUCUACCGUUAAGACCCAAUGACGUUUUAUAAAUUUCCAGUAAUUUACGAUUACGCCCAGAAAAUAGUUCCUUCACAUCAUGAUGUUUUAUUUUACAUAAAGGUUUUUUUCCGCCUCAUAAUUGUUGCUUUCAGAAACAUUACAUUAAAUUGCAAAUAGAGAUUUAAAUAAUUAAUAUAGUAUCAAUAAUUAAUAAUAAGAACAGAAUUCAAAUUUAUUUACUGGUUACACUCUUCAUGUAACCAAUCUAAGCAUAAUCCAUUAACGGAAGUGGAACCAGUUCCAACGGAAAGAGGAUGCGAUCAGGACGAAUGGCGGGUUUAAAAAAUAUCAAAAAGAUCCGUGUAAUCUAAUAACAAAUUGCAUGAAUGGAAGUUUUAAAAGGAUUUAAAUCAACAUAAAGGCAACUGAUGUAGCAAUGAGACAUGUGAAUGCUGCAACAUGAUGAUAAGGAUUCAAGGAAGGAAACAAAUCAGGCACAUUUUAGGAUAUCAGGAUGUGUAGUUUGUUAUCAUAAUUGCUUGUAGGACAUUGGAGGAUUAACUGUGGAGUGUAACAUUAUUGCUGUGAUUCGUCAGGAAUACACCUGUAGAUGGAAAGGCUUGUUUGUACCUGGAAGAAUUGGAUGAAAGAUUCAAAUAUUUAAGAAAAAUCACAAGUGGACAAAACCUCUUACCUGAAAUGUAAACUCUUUUGUUUUACAAAUUCUGUUGUGUGUGUUGGCCACAAAUUUCCCUUCAACCUCUGUAAGUCCAACGUAGAUUUCUACGUCUAUGUUGCUUUAAGGAAGAGGAACAAAUGAAUGUGUAUUUAAGUUGAAGAAAAAAGACAGCUUUAGUAACUUACCGGAAACAAUUGUAGUCAUCAUUUAGAGGAAAUUCGGCCAACACCCUUUUCAUUGCUGCCAGGAGGUGAUUUCCCCCCAAGGCAUACAUGUUGUAUGAUGUUAUUUCAUCUUCUUCGAAUUGUUCAGGGCCGCAAACCUUUAUAUGAAAGAAAUGUUGAUGUUGAGAUUUAUAUCUUUUUUAAGUGAAUUUCGACUAAUAACUAAGGAACUUGUAAAAUAAGUUAUUUUCAGAUACAAACAUUUUGUUUUGUUUUAAACAAUCACUAAGUUUCAUUUAGAUUUUAUACACACCUUUUCAUCAGCCAAAAGAAUUGGGAUCCUUGUUAUUGGUCUGAUAGGACAUUUUUUCAUGUUUUUGUGUAAUGAUUCAAUCCAUUUCUUGUUUAGUUCUCUCACUAAGAGGUUACUUGGUGUUGGUUUAAUAAUACUAGUCGGUAUGGUAUAUUGUCCUGAAACGGAAUAAUGAUUUAAUUUUUUAUAAUUGAUAUACCCAAUUCAGUUAUUCAUACAAUGCUUUAUAAAUGUGUCCGAUGAACACGCAAUUACAGUAGCACAAUGUUUAAUGAUUUAUGCUUGAUUAUAUUAAUAAAUUAAAUGAUAUUAGUUUGUUUAUA